This 587-nucleotide ribosomal RNA is filed under the name uncultured bacterium. RNAcentral's name for it is "bacterial SSU rRNA". It matches the Rfam family "Bacterial small subunit ribosomal RNA", at positions 337 to 916 of the family's 1533-position model. The record is from RNAcentral.
UCCUACGGGAGGCAGCAGUGGGGAAUAUUGCACAAUGGGGGAAACCCUGAUGCAGCCAUGCCGCGUGUGUGAAGAAGGCCUUCGGGUUGUAAAGCACUUUCAGUUGUGAGGAAAAGUUAGUAGUUAAUACCUGCUAGCCGUGACGUUAACAACAGAAGAAGCACCGGCUAACUCCGUGCCAGCAGCCGCGGUAAUACGGAGGGUGCGAGCGUUAAUCGGAAUUACUGGGCGUAAAGCGCACGCAGGCGGUUUGUUAAGCUAGAUGUGAAAGCCCCGGGCUCAACCUGGGAUGGUCAUUUAGAACUGGCAGACUAGAGUCUUGGAGAGGGGAGUGGAAUUCCAGGUGUAGCGGUGAAAUGCGUAGAUAUCUGGAGGAACAUCAGUGGCGAAGGCGACUCCCUGGCCAAAGACUAACGCUCAUGUGCGAAAGUGUGGGUAGCGAACAGGAUUAGAUACCCUGGUAGUCCACACCGUAAACGCUGUCUACUAGCUGUGUGUGCCUUUAAGGCGUGCGUAGCGAAGCUAACGCGCUAAGUAGACCGCCUGGGGAGUACGGCCGCAAGGUUAAAACUCAAAUGAAUUGACGG